Molecule: ribosomal RNA, 650 nt
Filed under: uncultured bacterium
Lineage: Bacteria
Description: bacterial SSU rRNA
Rfam family: Bacterial small subunit ribosomal RNA
Source: RNAcentral
CGGUCUGGCGGCGAGUGGCGAACGGGUGAGUAAUACAUCGGAACGUACCCUGUUGUGGGGGAUAACUAGUCGAAAGAUUAGCUAAUACCGCAUACGACCUGAGGGUGAAAGCGGGGGACCGAAAGGCCUCGCGCAGCAGGAGCGGCCGAUGUCUGAUUAGCUAGUUGGUGGGGUAAAGGCCCACCAAGGCGACGAUCAGUAGCUGGUCUGAGAGGACGAUCAGCCACACUGGGACUGAGACACGGCCCAGACUCCUACGGGAGGCAGCAGUGGGGAAUUUUGGACAAUGGGGGCAACCCUGAUCCAGCAAUGCCGCGUGUGUGAAGAAGGCCUUCGGGUUGUAAAGCACUUUUGUCCGGAAAGAAAUUGCUCUGGCUAAUACCUGGGGUAGAUGACGGUACCGGAAGAAUAAGCACCGGCUAACUACGUGCCAGCAGCCGCGGUAAUACGUAGGGUGCGAGCGUUAAUCGGAAUUACUGGGCGUAAAGCGUGCGCAGGCGGUUUUGUAAGACAGGCGUGAAAUCCCCGGGCUCAACCUGGGAAUUGCGCUUGUGACUGCAAGGCUAGAGUGCGUCAGAGGGGGGUAGAAUUCCACGUGUAGCAGUGAAAUGCGUAGAGAUGUGGAGGAAUACCGAUGGCGAAGGCAGCCC